GUGGGGAAUAUUGGACAAUGGGGGGAACCCUGAUCCAGCCAUGCCGCGUGUGUGAAGAAGGCCUUUUGGUUGUAAAGCACUUUAAGCGAGGAGGAGGCUACCGAGAUUAAUACUCUUGGAUAGUGGACGUUACUCGCAGAAUAAGCACCGGCUAACUCUGUGCCAGCAGCCGCGGUAAUACAGAGGGUGCAAGCGUUAAUCGGAUUUACUGGGCGUAAAGCGCGCGUAGGUGGCCAAUUAAGUCAAAUGUGAAAUCCCCGAGCUUAACUUGGGAAUUGCAUUCGAUACUGGUUGGCUAGAGUAUGGGAGAGGAUUGUAGAAUUCCAGGUGUAGCGGUGAAAAGCGUAGAGAUCUGGAGGAAUACCGAUGGCGAAGGCAGCCAUCUGGCCUAAUACUGACACUGAGGUGCGAAAGCAUGGGGAGCAAACAGGAUUAUAUACCCGAGUAGUCC
Molecule: ribosomal RNA, 451 nt
Filed under: uncultured bacterium
Lineage: Bacteria
Description: partial 16S ribosomal RNA
Rfam family: Bacterial small subunit ribosomal RNA
Source: RNAcentral